Molecule: ribosomal RNA, 811 nt
Filed under: uncultured bacterium
Lineage: Bacteria
Description: bacterial SSU rRNA
Rfam family: Bacterial small subunit ribosomal RNA
Source: RNAcentral
AGAGUUUGAUCCUGGCUCAGAACGAACGCUGGCGGCGUGGAUAAGACAUGCAAGUCGAACGGGAUUUUUCGUUGUAGCAAUACGAUGGAAAGUCUAGUGGCGAACGGGUGCUUAACACGUGGGCAACCUGCCAAGAAGUGGGGGGAUAGCUCGCCGAAAGGCGAAUUAAUACCGCAUGUGAUUAGAGAGGACAUCCUUUCGAAAUUAAAGUCGGGGCAACCUGACGCUUUUUGUGGGGCCCGCGGCCUAUCAGCUAGUUGGUGAGGUAACGGCUCACCAAGGCUUUGACGGGUAGCUGGUCUGAGAGGACGACCAGCCACACUGGGACUGAGACACGGCCCAGACACCUACGGGUGGCAGCAGUCGAGAAUUUUUGACAAUGGGGGAAACCCUGAUCGAGCGACGCCGCGUGGAGGAUGAAGGUCUUCGGAUUGUAAACUCCUGUCAUUGGGGAACAAGGUGCAUACGUUAACUGCGUGUGCAUUGAUAGUACCCGAAGAGGAAGAGACGGCUAACUCUGUGCCAGCAGCCGCGGUAAUACAGAGGUCUCAAGCGUUGUUCGGAUUCAUUGGGCGUAAAGGGUGCGUAGGCGGCGCGGUAAGUCGGGUGUGAAAUCUCGGAGCUUAACUCCGAAACUGCAUUCGAUACUGCCGUGCUUGAGGACUGGAGAGGAGACUGGAAUUUACGGUGUAGCGGUGAAAUGCGUAGAUAUCGUAAGGAAGACCAGUGGCGAAGGCGGGUCUCUGGACAGUUCCUGACGCUGAGGCACGAAGGUCAGGGGAGCAAACGGGAUUAGAUACCCCAGUAGUCC